CCAGCAGUGCUUGUUGCUCUUGAGUACACACACAGAAAACAUACAGUUAAAUGAACAAAUAAAGGAAGGACCAAACAGGUAGUAGAAGACAAAGACACUUGACAGACUUCAGGAACAGAAGCAAUGAUGAAGGACAAAGUCUUCUACUGCUGUGGGGCCACAGUUGGCUCUUCAGUUCGGGAGUUUCUUCGGCCUGGGAUUUUGGACUUUUCAACUAUCUCUUUGGGCUCACUGCUGACAGAGG
RNAcentral lists this long non-coding RNA (244 nucleotides) under Homo sapiens (human). Its description in RNAcentral is "HSALNT0266601". The record is from RNAcentral. Lineage: Eukaryota; Metazoa; Chordata; Mammalia; Primates; Hominidae.